This 72-nucleotide transfer RNA is filed under the name Furculitermes soyeri. RNAcentral describes it as "tRNA-Tyr". It matches the Rfam family "tRNA". From Rfam's summary of the family: Transfer RNA (tRNA) molecules are approximately 80 nucleotides in length. Their secondary structure includes four short double-helical elements and three loops (D, anti-codon, and T loops). Lineage: Eukaryota; Metazoa; Arthropoda; Insecta; Blattodea; Termitidae. The record is from RNAcentral.
AGUGGGAUGGCUGAGAGUAAGUAGGCGAUAGGCUGUAAAUCUAUUUAGGAGCGUUAUGUUGCUCUUCCACUA